This 1062-nucleotide ribosomal RNA is filed under the name Triticum aestivum (bread wheat). Its description in RNAcentral is "partial small subunit ribosomal RNA". The record is from RNAcentral. Lineage: Eukaryota; Viridiplantae; Streptophyta; Magnoliopsida; Poales; Poaceae.
AUGACUAUAGCCCUUGGUAGAAUUCCUAAAGAAGAAAAUGAUCUAUUUGAUACUAUGGAUGACUGGUUACGAAGGGACCGUUUUGUUUUUGUAGGAUGGUCUGGCCUAUUGCUCUUUCCUUGUGCUUAUUUCGCUUUAGGGGGUUGGUUUACAGGGACAACUUUUGUAACUUCUUGGUAUACCCAUGGAUUGGCUAGUUCCUAUUUGGAAGGUUGUAAUUUCUUAACCGCAGCAGUUUCUACCCCUGCCAAUAGUUUAGCACACUCUUUGUUGCUACUAUGGGGGCCCGAAGCACAAGGAUAUUUUACUCGUUGGUGUCAAUUAGGCGGUCUAUGGACUUUUGUAGCUCUCCACGGGUCUUUUGCACUAAUAGGUUUCAUGUUACGCCAAUUUGAACUUGCUCGGUCUGUUCAAUUGCGGCCUUAUAAUGCAAUCUCAUUCUCUGGUCCAAUUGCUGUUUUUGUUUCUGUAUUCCUUAUUUAUCCACUGGGGCAAUCUGGUUGGUUCUUUGCGCCGAGUUUUGGCGUAGCAGCGAUAUUUCGAUUCAUCCUUUUCUUCCAAGGAUUUCAUAAUUGGACGUUGAACCCAUUUCAUAUGAUGGGAGUUGCCGGAGUAUUAGGUGCGGCUCUGCUAUGCGCUAUUCAUGGAGCGACCGUAGAAAACACUCUAUUUGAGGACGGUGAUGGUGCAAAUACCUUCCGUGCUUUUAACCCAACUCAAGCUGAAGAAACUUAUUCCAUGGUCACUGCUAACCGCUUUUGGUCCCAAAUCUUUGGUGUUGCUUUUUCCAAUAAACGUUGGUUACAUUUCUUUAUGCUAUUUGUACCCGUCACCGGUUUAUGGAUGAGUGCUAUUGGCGUAGUUGGCUUGGCUCUGAACUUACGUGGCUAUGACUUUGUUUCCCAGGAAAUCCGUGCAGCGGAAGAUCCUGAAUUUGAGACUUUCUACACCAAAAAUAUUCUUUUAAACGAGGGUAUUCGUGCGUGGAUGGCAGCUCAGGAUCAGCCUCAUGAAAAUCUUAUAUUCCCUGAGGAGGUUCUACCACGUGGAAACGCUCUUUAA